Molecule: long non-coding RNA, 542 nt
Organism: Oncorhynchus tshawytscha (Chinook salmon)
Lineage: Eukaryota; Metazoa; Chordata; Actinopteri; Salmoniformes; Salmonidae
Source: Ensembl
UGUAAACAUAAAAUGUACCGGCUGACUUUUAUUCCAUACUCUUUCCAAACACCCUGCGCUGAACAGAUAGCCUACAGUAUAUACUUCAAAGGAUACUCCGGAGGCCACGAGACUGUUCCAAUGGGACUUGAAGGGAUGAUGGCUGGCUUCCUGUCCUCACGAUCACUGAUCUCAGCCGUUUGGUGCAGUGUGCUCAGGAGGACCACAUUCUUGUUCCUCUUUGGGAGGCAAUGCAGGGGAGUGGAAAGCAAUGAAGCUGCUACCUAGCUGGAUUUGAACUUCUAUCAACCAAUGAAAAAACUAUACACUGUAUAUUCAUUCUGGCACCAUGGCAACCCUUUUCUGGUUUAUAUGAGAACAGUAUCUGUUCAGGAAUAUAACUUUAUCACUUGUUCAAAUCAUUUAUCCCAAAUAUUUGCCUCAAAUAUCUUCGAAAUAUAACAUUAUUAACUCAGCCAGUAAAUAUGCAAACAUAUUUGCCAUAUCAAUUGCUUUUUUUCUUUCACUAUUUUACUAAAAUAAUAAUAUGUAUUGUGUUGAUA